Wyeomyia smithii (pitcher-plant mosquito) is the source of this 818-nucleotide long non-coding RNA. RefSeq lists it as uncharacterized. NCBI's taxonomy places the organism in Eukaryota, Metazoa, Arthropoda, Insecta, Diptera, Culicidae. The record is from RefSeq and is a predicted model, not a curated record. The transcript has 5 exons.
GUUCGCUAUUACCGGAUCAGUCACAACAAUUUGACAAGACUCGGUAUCGGUGGUGAAUACAAGAUCCAAGUAGGUGCUGUUUGCGUUCGGCAAAUCGCAAAUUUGCAUCAGUCCAGCUGACAGCAAACCAUCAACAAUGGCAGCUUCACUCUGAGAAGUAAUUCGAUCAGUUUGACAGGUUGAAAUCCCCACAAACGACGACCGUAUCAUUCGGACCAGCGGCUUCAACCAUAGACUCAACAAAAACGACGAACGAAUUGUAACGACGAGUGUUAGAGCUCGGGCAAACUCCGUGCUGGCGAUUCGACGAUGGAUGGCAACAAGUGCACCACCACCAGUUAGUUUGUCACUGUUGACCGAACUUCGAUCGCAGCGGUAAACGGAAAAACAAGCGGGAAACAACAUACCAUCCUGUACGUCAGAGUCCAAAUAAGUUUCAACCAUUGCGUAUGCAUCGUAGUCCAACUCCAGUGAUGACAAAUACAAGAUUUCUCACAGACGAACUAACGGUAUCACGACCAGCCUCAUCGAACGCGAAGGUGUAAAAAUCUCGCCCUGAACGAUAUCAUUAUUACAAAGCAACGGUCGGCCGGUUAGGAGCUGCGAGUGGCGUGGUGACACAACCGUGAAACUGAAAGGGUUCAAUUUGCGGCGGAUGAUCUCGAGCAAUUAUGCUUCCCCGAUCGACACCCACGAACUCUCGAAAAUAAAUUCCCUUCUGCCAGCUCGCUGGUUGCAUUGCUUUUUCCUUCCAUUUCAAUCCCAAACCCACUUUGAACGAUACAAAUGAAAGCUGUUUGAGAUCAACACCCCUUUUG